RNAcentral lists this ribosomal RNA (375 nucleotides) under uncultured bacterium. Its description in RNAcentral is "bacterial SSU rRNA". It matches the Rfam family "Bacterial small subunit ribosomal RNA", at positions 521 to 896 of the family's 1533-position model. The record is from RNAcentral.
UAAGACGUAGGAUCCGAGCGUUGUCCGGAGUUACUGGGCGUAAAGCGCGCGCAGGCGGAUACGCGCAUCGGCGGUGAAAGCCCCCCGCUCAACGGGGGAGGGUCCGUCGAGAUGGCGUGUCUGGAGGCAGGGAGAGGCCAGUGGAAUUCCGGGUGUAGUGGUGAAAUGCGUAGAGAUCCGGAGGAACACCAGUGGCGAAGGCGGCUGGCUGGACCUGACCUGACGCUGAGGCGCGAAGGCGUGGGGAGCGAACGGGAUUAGAUACCCUGGUAGUCCACGCCGUAAACGAUGGAUGCUAGCCGUUGGCGGGUUUACCCGUCAGUGGCGCAGCUAACGCUUUAAGCAUCCCGCCUGGGGAGUACGGUCGCAAGAUUA